RNAcentral lists this long non-coding RNA (866 nucleotides) under Anas platyrhynchos (mallard). RNAcentral describes it as "lncRNA (ENSAPLG00020000775.1)". The record is from RNAcentral. Lineage: Eukaryota; Metazoa; Chordata; Aves; Anseriformes; Anatidae.
AAACCAUUUACAUGAUGAAACCGUCAUGUUGAAUAAAUAUUAGUGAAACGAGCAGCGCGGUGCGGUGCUGAUGUCAGACGUGAUUCACCCGCUUUAGGAAGUGCAAGGAAUUGCAGAAGAGCUAUAGCGCAGGUCUUCAUCAGCAUCACAAAGGGGUAGGAGAGCUCAGCAGGUGACCACUCAUGCAGUUCAUCAGCCUAUUGUUUGCUCUCCUGCUCAGAUGUUAACUUCACUGCAUUGGCUGCUGAGGAGGCUUUGCUGGGUGAAUGGCUUUGGUUUGGGACAGGUAGGCUUGCCUUUUUUCUUGGCUUCCUUCUGUGAUUUUGGAUAAGUCCCUUAUAAUCUUGUGUCUGGUAGCCCAGCUGUGGGCAAGGACUAGGCAGGAGUAUGCUCAGUGCAGAGAUCUAGCAUCCUUCACUCUCUCCUAAGGUAGCCUUGGCCUCCUUUCCUUUCAUUUCACCAGCCAUGUCUUAUUAAUGUCACUAAUUAACACUCUCUCUCAUGCUUGCAGGAUUUGCCAGUUCCUGUAUGCCAAUGGGGUUUGUGCUCUGGCUCACUGUCGGUGCCUUCAGGGAAGCUGAUGCUCUGAGCAGGUUAUGUGCUAGCUCGGAAGACCUCUAUUGCAAGGCAGGAGCGUAAUGAGAAGGGGAGCAGCGAAGCGGCUGCCCCAGGACAAACUGUCUUCAGGUGCCUCCUUGGCUUGACCAACUGCCCGUAACCAUUCUGGGUCUUGAACCAGCUUGUCUCACGAAGAACUGCCCUUUGGAGGUGAUCUUCUUGCUUGUCCUUCCAUCUUCCCUGACGUUUCCACUGCUCCUUUUAUGGGGUCACCGUUGUUACCAUCAGCAGCAACGCCACAAGCCCAA